GGGGCAUGCUUGUCAUUGGUGAUGACAAAACACACUAUCUGGCCCCGCCCCCUUUUUAGUGGGCCACUGUAAUUAAAAAAUGCCCGGGCUGAAUUUUCUUCCCAGUCCGGCCCUGCUCCCGCUGUAUUCCCGGCCAAUGCGUGUGUGAGAUGUGUCAGGUUCCCGGCGCCCCUGUUGCUAUGGCACCCUGUGCAGCUUCACAGCUCACACAACUCCAAG
Molecule: non-coding RNA, 219 nt
Organism: Pelobates cultripes (western spadefoot toad)
Lineage: Eukaryota; Metazoa; Chordata; Amphibia; Anura; Pelobatidae
Source: the annotation of a GenBank genome assembly